RNAcentral lists this ribosomal RNA (253 nucleotides) under uncultured bacterium. RNAcentral describes it as "partial 16S ribosomal RNA". It matches the Rfam family "Bacterial small subunit ribosomal RNA", at positions 524 to 776 of the family's 1533-position model. The record is from RNAcentral.
UACGUAUGGAGCAAGCGUUAUCCGGAUUUACUGGGUGUAAAGGGAGCGCAGGCGGCUUUGCAAGUCUGAUGUGAAAGGCCGGGGCUCAACCCCGGGACUGCAUUGGAAACUGUAAAGCUAGAGUGCCGGAGAGGUAAGCGGAAUUCCUAGUGUAGCGGUGAAAUGCGUAGAUAUUAGGAGGAACACCAGUGGCGAAGGCGGCUUACUGGACGGCAACUGACGCUGAGGCUCGAAAGCGUGGGGGGCAAACAGG